ACUUUCAACAACAGAUCUCUUGGUUCUGGCAUUGAUGAAGAACACAGCGAAAUGCGAUAAGUAAUGUGAAUUGCAGAAUCUAUGAGUCAUCAAAUCUUUGAAUGCACAUUGUGCCCUUUGGCAUUCUGAAGGGCAUGCCUGUUUGAGUGUCAUUAUCACCUCUCAAGCCUGGCUUGCAGUUGGACUCGUGGUAAGGCCCUUGCCUAGCUGGUCUUAAAGAUAAUGACAGUGUCUGUGAAUGACCCUAGUACACUGAGCUCUUGUGGCAUGUACUUAGUGGGAGUUGCAGGCUGGUCUAGCCUCUAGUUUUAUCUAAGGUUGACCUUGGAUUAGGUAGGGAUACCCGCUGAACUUAAGUAUAUCAAUAAGUGGAGGAAAAGAAACUAACAGGGAUUGCCUCAGUAACAGUGAGUGAAGUGGCAACAGCUCAAAUUUGAAAUCUGGCUCUUGGAUCCGAGUUGUAAUUUGUAGAGGAUGUUUUGGGUACCACCGCGGUUUAAAUUUCUUGGAACAGAAUGUCAGAGAGGGUGAGAGUCCUAUCUAGAACUGUAGUAGGGCCUGGGUAAAACUCCUUUGAUGAGUUAAGUUGUUUAGGAAUGCAGCUCAAAAUGGGUGGUAAAUUUCAUCUAAAGCUAAAUAUUGGCUAGAGACUGAUAGUGCAUAAGUAGAGUGAUUGAAAGAUGAAAAGCACUUUGAAAAGAGAGUUAAAUAGUAUGUGAAAUUGUUGAAAGGGAAGUGCUUGCAACCAGACUUGUAUGUGGCGGUUCCCCCUUGCUUCUGCUUGGGCUACUCUAUCAUAUCUAGGCCAACAUCAGUUCUAGGGGUUGGUUAAAGGCCCUGGGAAUGUAUCUACCCCCGGGUAGACUUAUAGCCCAGGGUGUUAUGUAGCCUCCUGGGACUAAGGAACACGCUUUGGUGAGGAUAUUGGUGUAAUGGUUGUCAGUGACCUAUCUUGAAACAUGGACCAAGGAGUCUAACAUCUAUGUGAGUGUUUGGGUGUCAAACCUAUACGCGAAAUGAAAGUGAAUGGAGGUAGGAAGCCCUUAGGCUGUACUAUUGACUGAUCCUGAUAUUUAUGGAUGGAUUUAAGUAAGAGUAUAGCUGUUGGGACCCGAAAGAUGGUGAACUAUGCCUGAAUAGGGUGAAGCCAGAGGAAACUCUGGUGGAGGCUUGCAGUGGUUCUGAUGUGUAAAUUGAUUAUCAAAUUUGGGUAUAGGGGCGAAAGACUAAUUGAAUCAUCUGGUAGCUGGUUCCUGCUGAAGUUUCCCUCAGGAUAGUAGUAAUGUUUUCAGUUUUAUGAGGUAAAGUGAAUGAUUAGAGGCCUUGGGGUUAAAACAACCUUAACCUAUUCUCAAACUUUAAAUAUGUAAGAAGCCCUUGUUACUUAAUUGAAUGUGGGUAUUUGAAUGUAUUGUUACUAGUGGGCCAUUUUUGGUAAGCAGAACUGGUGAUGUGGGAUAAACUGAACGAGAGGUUAAGGUGCUGGAGUGCACGCUUAUCAGACACCACAAAAGGUGUCAAUGUAUCUAGAUAGCUAGAUAGUGGCCAUGGAAGUUAGAAUCCACUUAGGAGUGUGUAACAACUCACUGGCUGAAUGUAUUAGCCCUGAAAAUGGAUGGUACUUAAGUGUGUCACCUAUACCUCUCUGUAGCUGUUUACUGGAAGUGGCUAUGAGUAGGUAGGUGUAGAGGUGUAUAACAAAGCCUUGGGGGUGACCCUGGGUUAAACUAUCUCUAGUAUAGAUCUUGGUGGUAGUAGCAAAUACUCAAAUGAGAACUUUGAGGAUUGAAGUGGGGAAAGGUUCCAUGUGAACAGCAGUUGGACAUGGAUGAGUUGAUCCUAAGCCAUAGGGAAGAUCUGUUAGAAAGUGUGCACUUAUGCACUGUAUGGCGAAAGGGAAGCUAGUUAAUAUUCUGGCACCUGGAUACAGUGUCUUCAUGGCAAUGUAACUGAAAGUGGAGAUGUUGGUGGGGGCCCUGGGAAGAGUUAUCUUUUCUUCUUAAUAGUCUAUCACCCUGAAAUCAGUUUGUCUGGAGCUAGGGUUUAAUGGCUGGCAGAGUACAUCACCUCUGAUGUGUCUGGUGUGCUCCUGACAACCCUUGAAAAUCCACUGGAAGGAAUAAGAUUUAUGCCAGGUUGUACUCAUAACUGCAGCAGGUCUCCAAGGUGAAAAGCCUCUAGUUGAUAGAACAAUGUAGAUAAGGGAAGUUGGCAAAAUAGAUCUAUAACUUCAGGAAAAGGAUUGGCUCUAAGAACUAGGUGCAUUGGGCCUUAGAAAGAUCCCGCUGGAGUAGGGAGUCACUAGCUGGGCAACCGGCCGGCGGCACCCAGCACUGGUGUGGUGAUGUCCUUGGCAGGCUUUGGUUGUCUAGCGCACAAUUAAUAGUCAACUUAGAACUGGUAUAGACAAGGGGAAUCUGACUGUCUAAUUAAAACAUAGCAUUGUGAUGGCCAGAAAGUGGUGUUGAUGCAAUGUGAUUUCUGCCUAGUGCUCUGAAUGUCAAAGUGAAGAAAUUCAACCAAGUGUGGGUAAACAGCGGGAGUAACUAUGACUCUCUUAAGGUAGCCAAAUGCCUUGUUAUCUAAUUAGUGACGCGCAUGAAUGGAUUAACGAGAUUCCUACUGUCCCUAUCUACUAUCUAGCGAAACCACAGCCAAGGGAACAGGCUUGGCAGAAUCAGCGGGGAAAGAAGACCCUGUUGAGCUUGACUCUAGUUUGACAUUGUGAAAAGACAUAGGGGGUGUAGAAUAGGUGG
The sequence is a ribosomal RNA, 2756 nucleotides long. The stretch from base 320 to 2756 matches the Rfam family "Eukaryotic large subunit ribosomal RNA", at positions 1 to 2472 of the family's 3401-position model.